This 683-nucleotide long non-coding RNA is filed under the name Mus spicilegus (steppe mouse). Its description in RNAcentral is "lncRNA (ENSMSIG00000021944.1)". The record is from RNAcentral. Lineage: Eukaryota; Metazoa; Chordata; Mammalia; Rodentia; Muridae.
AGCAAAACACCAUCCAACACAUCUGACUUUCCAAAGAACCCUUAGGUUUCUACUUCAAUUGUGAGCUAACAUUUACCCUUUCUUCCCUCACUUGCCUCUUGCCAGGGCAUUUUAUCACAGGAGCAGAAAUGAAACUAGAACACACCUUCCUCCAGGGCCCCCCACUCAAUGAGCAACAGCCCAGGAGGCCUCGACUAACUCAGUUCAAGGAGAGUAGAGAACCCAGAAGCCAGAGCCUUCCCAUCAGACACAUCUCGGCAGUGUAGCUUGGAUGGUCUUUGUGAAGACUGCUUUGUCUGAAGUGAUGCCAGGUUCCCCUCUUACCACGUACAGUAUGUGUUUUAGAAGACACCCCAGUGAUUGGGAUUCACUACACAGAGGGAGGAGAUCUGUCAUCACUCAUACACUCGGUCACCAGUGUAAGAUGCAUCCCAGCUGCUGUGUGUGUGUUCCAUGGAUCCCUAAUCUUUCAGACAGCAUGUGUGAAGAGCGAAGCAGAGCCUGACAGGGCUGGAGCUGCAGGGCAUACCAUUGACAACUUCACACUCAUAAGGAUUUGCUAAAGGCACAGAGAAAGAAUGCAGACCCUUCGACUGUAUAGUGGCCUCAUCUAUUUUUUCAGGGUGGAUAGAACUGCAUGAAACCGAAAGUGAAAACAAUAAACACAUUACCACAAUGUUGUC